AAGAUAGGCCAGGCUAGGUUAGCUUGGGUUAUAUUGGAGGUUAGAAUCAUGAGUUCUGUUCUUCUAUGACACCAAAUUAGAAAUAGGUUAGAGUUAGAAUCACGCGCGGUUUAGGUCAGGUCAGGUUAGAAUACAUUAAUUCUAUCGUAAACAGAUUGAAAUCAGGAUGAUAUCAGGCGAUAUUAAGUUAAGGACAGAAAACGAAAGAUGAAGCGAAAAGAUGCCAAAAAGAGAAAGAAAAAUAAACACUAAGAAGAUUGAAGAAGUAAUUUUUCCCACAUCGUCAUGAUUGCAUUAUUGCUAUACCAUACACCACUGUGGUAUCGUUGCUGCAGUUUUAAAGUCAUGUACAUGCAAACUCUCACACACGAAACAUAACCGGCAGAAACGGUAUUAUAAACGAUAUACACAGCAAAAUGUUGGCAUAAAUUUGGUAAAUUUACGGUAAAUACACGACCGCGAUUAAGAUAAUGCGGAUAAUUGUCGGCGUUUGGUGACUAAAAUCGCAUGGUACGAUGUGGCGACACAUUUUCCUAAUAAUAUGUGUAACAUGAAGUAUUUGUUUACUUUUUUAAAUUUAUUCAUUAGUUUUAUACUGUUACAUAUUUAUAUUAUUUAAUAAACAACACAGAGCUGUCAUGUGCUGUUCUUCACUCUCA
Molecule: long non-coding RNA, 659 nt
Organism: Neodiprion fabricii
Lineage: Eukaryota; Metazoa; Arthropoda; Insecta; Hymenoptera; Diprionidae
Exons: 3
Source: RefSeq, a predicted model, not a curated record